UUUUAAUUGAAGGCUUGUAUGAAUGGUUGGACAAGGGAUAAGCUGUCUUUAUUUUUGUUUUUGAAUUUGUCUUUUAAGUGAAAAGACUUAAAUUAUUUUAAGGGACGAUAAGACCCUAUAAAUCUUUAUACUAAUAUAUUUUUAUUUUAAUUUUUAAUGUUUGUGAAGAUAAAAAUAUAAAGUAUUAUAUUGGGGUGAUAAGAAUAAUAAAUAAACUGUUCUAUAAAAAAACAAAGUUAUUUGAUAAAUUAGUAGAUCCUUUAUUUAAGAUUAAAAGUUUAAGUUACUUUAGGGAUAACAGCGUUAUUUUUUUUGAGAGUUCUAAUCGAAAAAAAAGUUUGCGACCUCGAUGUUGAAUUAAAAUUUCUUUGUGGUGUAGCUGUUACAUAAGAGAGUCUGUUCGACUUUUAAAAUUUUACGUGAUCU
RNAcentral lists this ribosomal RNA (426 nucleotides) under Galathea eione. RNAcentral describes it as "partial 16S ribosomal RNA". The stretch from base 294 to 426 matches the Rfam family "Bacterial large subunit ribosomal RNA", at positions 2473 to 2606 of the family's 2925-position model. Lineage: Eukaryota; Metazoa; Arthropoda; Malacostraca; Decapoda; Galatheidae. The record is from RNAcentral.